AUACGGAGGGUGCAAGCGUUACUCGGAAUCACUGGGCGUAAAGCGCGCGCAGGCGGUUAUUUAAGUUGGAUGUGAAAGCCUACGGCUCAACCGUAGAACUGCAUCCAAAACUAUUUAGCUAGAGUGUGGGAGAGGAAGAUGGAAUUAGUUGUGUAGGGGUAAAAUCCGUAGAGAUAACUAGGAAUACCAAAAGCGAAGGCAAUCUUCUAGAACACUACUGACGCUGAGGCGCGAAAGCGUGGGGAGCAAACAGGAUUAGAAACCCCAGUAGUCC
This 274-nucleotide ribosomal RNA is filed under the name uncultured bacterium. Its description in RNAcentral is "partial 16S ribosomal RNA". It matches the Rfam family "Bacterial small subunit ribosomal RNA", at positions 523 to 796 of the family's 1533-position model. The record is from RNAcentral.